RNAcentral lists this ribosomal RNA (424 nucleotides) under uncultured bacterium. RNAcentral describes it as "partial 16S ribosomal RNA". It matches the Rfam family "Bacterial small subunit ribosomal RNA", at positions 360 to 776 of the family's 1533-position model. The record is from RNAcentral.
AAUUUUGGACAAUGGGCGCAAGCCUGAUCCAGCCAUGCCGCGUGAGUGACGAAGGCCUUCGGGUUGUAAAGCUCUUUCGGACGGAAAGAAAUCGCGCAGGCUAAUACCCUGCGCGGAUGCCGGUACAUUCAUAAGAAGCACCGGCUAACUACGUGCCAGCAGCCGCGGUAAUACGUAGGGGGCGAGCGUUAAUUGGAAUUACUGGACGGAAAGCGUGAGCAGGCGGUUGAUGAAGGCAAGCGUGAAAGCCACAGGCUUAACCUGGGAACUGCGCUUGUGACUGGUCAGCUAGAGUACGGCAGAGGGGGGUGGAAUUCCACGUGUAGCAGUGAAAUGCGUAGAGAUGUGGAGGAACACCGAUGGCGAAGGCAGCCCCCUGGGCCGAUACUGACGCUCAUGCACGAAAGCGUGGGUAGCAAACAGG